This 413-nucleotide ribosomal RNA is filed under the name uncultured bacterium. Its description in RNAcentral is "bacterial SSU rRNA". It matches the Rfam family "Bacterial small subunit ribosomal RNA", at positions 355 to 787 of the family's 1533-position model. The record is from RNAcentral.
UGGGGAAUAUUGGGCAAUGGGCGCAAGCCUGACCCAGCAACGCCGCGUGAAGGAAGAAGGCCCUCGGGUUGUAAACUUCUAUCAGCAGGGAAGACAAUGACGGUACCUGACUAAGAAGCCCCGCUAACUACGUGCCAGCAGCCGCGGUAAUACGUAGGGGCAAGCGGUUAUCCGGAUUUACUGGGUGUAAAGGGAGCGUAGACGGAUCUGCAAGUCUGGAGUGAAAGCCCGGGGCUCAACCCGGACGUGCUUUGGAAACUGUGGAUCUAGAGUGCCGGAGAGGUAAGCGGAAUUCCUAGUGUAGCGGUGAAAUGCGUAGAUAUUAGGAGGAACACCAGUGGCGAAGGCGGCUUACUGGACGGUAACUGACGUUGAGGCUCGAAAGCGUGGGGAGCAAACAGGAUUAGAUACCC